GGAGGCGUAUCCAGCCUGGUGGCUGGCGCGGUCUUCAAAACCGUUGAACGGCAGGUCCUGUCGUUGGCGGGUUCGAUUCCCGUCCGCCUCCGCCA
Molecule: transfer RNA, 95 nt
Filed under: Actinophytocola sp.
Lineage: Bacteria; Bacillati; Actinomycetota; Actinomycetes; Pseudonocardiales; Pseudonocardiaceae
Description: tRNA-Sec
Rfam family: Selenocysteine transfer RNA
Source: RNAcentral